Molecule: ribosomal RNA, 494 nt
Filed under: uncultured bacterium
Lineage: Bacteria
Description: partial 16S ribosomal RNA
Rfam family: Bacterial small subunit ribosomal RNA
Source: RNAcentral
GACGAACGCUGGCGGCGUGCUUAACACAUGCAAGUCGAACGGUGAAGCGCCUUCCUUUUUGGUGGGUGUGGAUGAGUGGCGAACGGGUGAGUAACACGUGAGUAACCUGCCCCCUUCUUCUGGAUAACCGCAUGAAAGUGUGGCUAAUACGGGAUAUUCUGGGUCUGUCGCAUGAUGGGUCUGGGAAAGAUAUUGUUUCGGUGGGGGAUGGGCUCGCGGCCUAUCAGCUUGUUGGUGGGGUGAUGGCCUACCAAGGCGGUGACGGGUAGCCGGCCUGGGAGGGUGGACGGUCACACUGGGACUGAGACACGGCCCAGACUCCUACGGGAGGCAGCAGUGGGGAAUAGUGCACAAUGGGCGCAAGCCUGAUGCAGCGACGCCGCGUGAGGGAUGGAGGCCUUCGGGUUGUGAACCUCUUUCGCCAGUGAAGCAGGCCUGCCUCGUUUGUGGGUGGGUUGACGGUAGCUGGAUAAGAAGCGCCGGCUAACUACGUG